This 74-nucleotide transfer RNA is filed under the name Chelydra serpentina (North American snapping turtle). RNAcentral's name for it is "tRNA-Trp". It matches the Rfam family "tRNA". Rfam says of the family: Transfer RNA (tRNA) molecules are approximately 80 nucleotides in length. Their secondary structure includes four short double-helical elements and three loops (D, anti-codon, and T loops). Further hydrogen bonds mediate the characteristic L-shaped molecular structure. tRNAs have two regions of fundamental functional importance: the anti-codon, which is responsible for specific mRNA codon recognition, and the 3' end, to which the tRNAs corresponding amino acid is attached (by aminoacyl-tRNA synthetases). tRNAs cope with the degeneracy of the genetic code in two manners: having more than one tRNA (with a specific anti-codon) for a particular amino acid; and 'wobble' base-pairing, i.e. permitting non-standard base-pairing at the 3rd anti-codon position. Lineage: Eukaryota; Metazoa; Chordata; Testudines; Chelydridae. The record is from RNAcentral.
AGAAACUUAGGAUAACCAAUUUAAACCAGGAGCCUUCAAAGCCCCAAAUAAGAGAUAAACCCUCUUAGUUUCUG